UAGAAAGAUGAGGUUUUCUUUGGUUCUUAAUUCACCUUGGAUUUCUACAUUGAAUUCAAUGGACAGAAAGCUCUUUUGCCGUCAACAGUUGUGAACAUGCGCAGUAGAGGCCGUUUCCCGAUACUUUCUAGGCUUCACUCCUACACUCUCCAGUUCUAAUGUACGCUUUAUGGUUGGUUUGCUCCUGAGCUCCUGAGCCGUCGUUUAAGCGAGUCUUUGACGUAUGCAAGCAGUUUUUUUUGUAUCACGGGAACGCCGCCAUUUUUGUAGGGUCAACGACUUUGUUUUAAAAUUAUCAUGGGGCAUCUACUCAUGAGGCAUGUCAGAUACCUUGUAUGUGGGUACACAAAAAAGUUGUCAUUCAUUUUUCUGAGUGAGUUGCCAUUCACUCUGAGUACGCCUGAAGGAGAGUAUUUUGUCACCGCAUUUGUUCAUGCCAUGGACUGUAGAAUGUUCUAUUCAUUUAAAAUAUUCCUUCCGUUAGGAAAGAAUUAAGAAAUAAAACUUGAGGAUGACAUUUCUCUGUUCAAAAACUAGCUCCCUUCAGCGAGCAGUGCAGAGGUUUCCACAAUGAACAAGUAUUCUGCCUGGAAAAGAAAAAACUGACUCAGAGAAAAUACCUUGGCCAUUAGAGCAUUCAACUUCUUUGUGUUCAUCAGAAUCCUGUUUUGGAAAAGCCGCUGUACUCUUCAUCUAUGCUACUACUCAGAAUGUUUCUGCAAUCUGUAAUAUAUUUGAACUGGUGGAUACAGUAAGGACACACCAUUUGUGAGCUCACACUCAUUGCCCCAUUCUCAUGCAGUACAGUCAGUACAGUCUGUCAUAGCUCCAUGGCUCUCUCGGAUGUGACAGACUGUGUAUCUGUGGGUGAUGGAGUAUGCUUGAUGUGAAGCAACGGUUCCUACCCUGUGGCCUAGUAAAACGCAUAAGAAAUGACAAGAAAUGAACUUUUCCUCAAAACACAUAAAUGCAUCUUUUAUGAAGAAUGUUGUAUGUUAAACUAGCAUAAAUGAAAUGGAACCUUUCUGAACUAAUAUCUGAACUUAUACCACACAACCCGUUUCAACAUUCUGUACAAUAAAGAAAGCUAUUUAAAUAAAAGUUUGCCCGUAUGUAAAAUAAAUCCAAGGGCCUUUCCCUUUUAA
Long non-coding RNA from Anguilla anguilla (European eel), 1145 nucleotides. RefSeq lists it as uncharacterized. Lineage: Eukaryota; Metazoa; Chordata; Actinopteri; Anguilliformes; Anguillidae. The record is from RefSeq and is a predicted model, not a curated record. The transcript is spliced from 2 exons.